This is a long non-coding RNA of Equus caballus (horse), 1209 nucleotides long. RefSeq lists it as uncharacterized. NCBI's taxonomy places the organism in Eukaryota, Metazoa, Chordata, Mammalia, Perissodactyla, Equidae. The record is from RefSeq and is a predicted model, not a curated record.
GUUGGAUAUGGAGGAAAUUAGAGACAUGGUAGCAUGAGGAAGAUUUGACAGACCACCACUGGCAGGAAAAUAGCACGUGAAUGUAUGUCGGCAUAGAUAUGUACAAAAACCAUAGCUGUUGCUCGAAGCAGGUGAUUCUAAGGUCCUCCCGGAAGCCAGUGUGAAUUUCAAUUGGAAAAGGUGUGUCUGGUGCCAUUACCUAUCUGCAGUACCAGAGAGGAUCACCUAGAAGCCACCAGGAACCUCACUUUAGCCAUCUUCUAGGCUGGUGCUUACAACUGAUAAAGGAAGAAAAAUGACUUCUUCUCUUCUGCCUGCAUAAUAUUAUGCAAAUCCUCUCACUGGCAGAACUUCUACAAAAAUCCCAUCGGUGCUAGGCCUAAAAUGAGGUGAAGAUAUCAGGGAAGAGAAUUCAUGAAAGUGACGUGCAUACUUAAGACCAGAAAAUAUUUGCCUUGAGAAAAUUGUCACAAGAAUUCUCCAUCUAUGCCAUGUUUAGCAGUGUCCGCUCAUUUUAUUUGUGCUUUAUUACAUGAAACUAGGCCUCACCUUUCUACCCAUUUUAACAACAAACCUGCCUGCUAUUCUGGAAAGAAGUGCCACUCUCUGUAAAGAGACCCUUCCUAACAAAAUGUGUAUGUUGUCCCUGUCCUCAGCGAAUGUUUUCCUGGAUGCUGAGACAUACAUCCAGUGAUCAAGACCUAUAUAACCUGGGAGAAGUCAUCAAGCCGUCUACCAUGAUCAAGAAUCAAUUAGAAGAUAACUCAGAUCAUGUGAUGUUGCCUAGCCAUGAGAUACUUGAACUGAAUAAGGUGAUCAUUAAAAUGAAAACAGCUGUGGAUGAUCCCUUCCACGGGCGAAAAUCAUGUGUUAUCAAAAUGCAUAUAAUCUUCGGAACCUUCCCCCAGUAUUCCUCAAAGGAGCAUGCGGAUGCUUUUCCUUGCUGCUGUGUGUAGAGAGAAAUGGAAACGCAGAAACUUCACGGCCUACAGGAGAGUGCAAUCGAGCUAAUGAGAUCUGGAUAUUUCAAGCAUAAUAACAACCUCCCAUCCAGGCUAGAGGAGACACAGAAGAUACAGAACCACAGGAAAAAUGAAUUCUGAUCAAUUUCAUUUUAGUUUAUAUUAAAUACAUCCUGAAACAGCCCAAGGUUAUUUCUGAAGAAUUUGAUUUUAUAAUUGCGUUAUAUAUGUUUAACUAUAGAUCUAA